GGCAAGGGACUUCCUGUAAGAAUGCACCACCCAGCUGGGCAUGGUGGCUCACGCCUGUAAUGCCAGCAUGGGAGGCUGAGGUGGGUGGAUCAUGAGGUCAGGAGUUCGAGACCAUCAUUGCCAAUAUGGUUAAACCCCAUCUCUACUAAAAAUACAAAAAUUAGCUGGGUGUGGUGGUGCACCUGUAAUCCCAGCUACUUGGGAGGCUGAGGCAGAAGAAUCGCUUGAACCUGGGAGGCGGAGGUUGCAGUGUGCCGAUUUGCACCACUGCACUCCAGUCUGGGCGACAAAGCGAGACUCUGUCUCAAAAAAACAAAAAACAAAAAAGAGAAUGCACCUUCCAAUAUAUGGAAUGACUAUUAAAAAAAAGAACAAUGUAUAAUCAAAGUCCUCAGCCGCAUUGUAGAACAUUUGGGAUUCCUCACUCCAACUAACUGCUGUCACCUUCACCAUUCCAGGUUUUAAAUCUUAAGCCAAAAAAAAAAAAAAUGCCAAUCUUAUCUUAUUUUCUGCAUAAGUUAGGUUUUUGUCAAGAAAGAUUAUAAUGUAAGUCACCGUACACCUAGAAGUAUUUGCGGUAGGGUGGACAACACAGAGGCCGGACUCCUCUUAUUCCUGCCUGCUGAUCCACAUCUGCUGGAAGGGGGACAGCGAGGCCAAGAUGGAGCCACUGAUCCAUACAGAAUAUUUGUACUCAAGAGGAGCAAUGAUGUUGAUCUUCAUGUUGGGAGCCAUGGUAGUGAUCUCCUCCUCCAUCCUGUCAGCAAUGCCAGGGUACAUGGUGGUGUCACUGGACAGCACUGGGUUGGUAUACAGGUCUUUGCAGAUGUCCAUGUCACAUUUCAUGAUGGAGUUGAAGGUAGUUUUGUGGAUGCCACAGGAUUCCAUGCCCAGGAAGGAAGGCUGGAAGAGUGCUAUGGGACAGCAGGGACCACUCGUUGCCAAUGAUGAUGACCUGGCCAUCAGGCAGCUGGAAUCUCUUCUUCAGGGAGAAGCUGGAGGCCACGUGCAGGGACAGCAGAACCUGGAUGUCUAUGUACAUGGAUGCGGUGUUGAAGUGCUACCAGCCCAUCCAUCAUCCUCCUGUGAUAUCCAUCCUGGUACAUUCUUGAAGAUGCCCAUUGCCUGAGCCAGAAUAUGUGUGUGAUAUUUUAGAACUCCUCAACCUUCAAGUAAAUGGCAGUAGACAUUGUUGGAGGAGUGGGCGUUACUGGACUUUCUUUGGGAAAACCUGUACAGAGACAUGUUGCUGGAGAACUUUAGAAACUUAACCUUGGUGGAGCAGGCUGGCCUCAUUCCUUCUUCAUUUUUGAUGCAGCAAAUAGUUGUUCUUGAGCAUGUCUUGUGUUCCAAGAUUUGCCAUAAUAAUGGCAAGUUAGUGGUGAACACAAAAUGGAUGGUCCCUGUCCUUGUGAGGCAGUCUAGUGACUUCCCAGGAAAGUAAAAAUCUGUUCAUUGCACGGAUUUCAUUUUCUCUGUCAUGGUUUUCAAGGAUUAGUUCUAUAUGGGGUAGUGAGUGAGGGUAUUUGCUUUUGAGUCCCUGUGAAAAUUUUCUGCUCUUAUUAUUUUGCUGUUUCUAAAAUUGGACUUGUCUAUCUUCAGAACGCUUUAAACCCAAAGUGUUAGAAUCCUUUUUGUGCAAAGUUCUUGUCUCCUACUCAUGACUCCAACAUCCUGUGUCUAGUCCCAUGAGCAGGGUAUCAGCUCUGCAAAUGUAGUAUGAUUAAGAAGGUGUAGUGCAAAAAGGUGAGGUCAGAGAAGAGAGGAAUCCUUCAAGUCACCUGUACAGGUGAGCCCCAGGCAGAAAAGUGUCAUUGUGUGGGACAGCCUUGUCUAGUGAGAAGCCAGUGGAGAAAGAUAACAGACAAAUAAAUGGGAAGAAUUAAAAUAUGAAGAAAUAAUAGGUAAAACUUUCCAAAUUUGAUGAAAGGCAUGAAUCUCUAAAUCCAAGCUCAGCAAACUUCAAGUAAGAGAAACUCAGAGAGGCCCACAGUGAGUCACAUUAUCAUCAAAAUGUCAAAUAGCAAAGACAAAGAGUGAUGAAAGAAGUAAUUCCUUACAUAAAGGAAUUCUCUAUAGUGAAAAAUUUGGGGAGCUGAAAGCCUGAGGGUUGUGACCAACUCAGCAUUCCAUUGGAGGCUAUAUGAUCAAACAGCAAACUGUUUAUCAUAUAUGCAGCAUGUGGGCAAACUCACAUCUGCGCCUGCCACCAGAAGUUAUGCCUAGGGCAAUCACUCCCUGGUGCUGUGCUCCUUGAGGUUAUCUACUGGAAUAUCUGGAGCCUACUGUUCAAAGAAAGCAGUCAUGCAGGCCUGCACUAAAUCAAGCAGCUGACUGACAAUCACCCCCUCCUCCCUAUUUCCUUUACUCAAUAAAUAUGAAGGGCUCUAGAAGCUCAGGGCCCUUGUUCACUAGAAGCAAGGAGCCCCCAACCCCUUCUUUUAAAACAGAUAUUUUUGUUUUUAUCUUUAUUUCUGUGUUCGUUCUCCUUUGUUCAGUCCACCAGGGUCUGCGGCAAAGUGACAUCAUGAACAGGGACUUCAAGGACAUGAAUGAAGAAGGUCUGCUGGAGCAGAGGAAGUGAAGCUAACAAGAUGAAUGAGUACCCUGGGACAAAUCUGCCAGCAGGGAGUAUAAGGUCAGUGUUCUAAAGAAGUACUGGGAAUGGGAAGUUUCUGAAUCAGGGUAACAUGGGGCAGAAUUUGUCUGUUGAAGAAAAACAUUAUGUGCAAUUGCUUAAAGUUCUGUUGAAACAGUCUGGAGCUCAAGUUAAUUCACAGGCAUUAACUAGGCUUCUGCAGGAGGUUAUUACACAUAACCCAUGGUUUCUGCAGGCAGGCACUCUCAAUGUAGAAAAUUGGGACAAAAUAGAAAAGGGAUUGAAACGGACUCAUCAAAAAGGUUUCAAAGUAGACCCUACUGUUUUUUCUGCUUGCGUUUUUGUUCACACGGUCCUACUGCCAUUGUCUUCUUAUUCUGUCAGACAUCAGGAGUCAGGUUCUGAGUCUCAAGAAUUAAAAACAUCAUUUGUUUCUCCAACAGUGCCUAUUGAAAAUAAUGAGCAGGAGAAAGGGGAGGAGAAUUGGCUGUUUGCUAAGCAGGAAAUAGGAGAGGAGAAUUGGCCUCUGCCACCCCAUCCAGUAACAGAAGUAG
Molecule: long non-coding RNA, 3153 nt
Organism: Pongo abelii (Sumatran orangutan)
Lineage: Eukaryota; Metazoa; Chordata; Mammalia; Primates; Hominidae
Source: Ensembl